Molecule: long non-coding RNA, 3992 nt
Organism: Triticum aestivum (bread wheat)
Lineage: Eukaryota; Viridiplantae; Streptophyta; Magnoliopsida; Poales; Poaceae
Exons: 4
Source: RefSeq, a predicted model, not a curated record
GCCUAUUGGCCCCCCAAUCCCCACAGGCCACAGCCGCCCGCCUGCACCUCUCCCUCCUCCGGUCCUCCCUCGUCUCAGCCGCCACCCCCACGAACCCUAACCGCGCCCUCCUGCACCUGUCCUCCUCCCCCUUCCUGGUCCGCCCCAAGUCCCUCCUCGUCUCAUGAUCUAGCCAAGGAAAAACAGGGUGGCGUGAUGCCCUGGUCGUCGACCGGCGGGGAGCCUACGUAGAGGCGGUGGCGGAGACGACCCUAGAUGGGCCAAGAUCUGGACAGGGCGCCUCAACCUCGCCUUCCUCUUCCACGUACUCGCUGAUAGAGAGACAGCAGCAGCGGUGGGAGGAGCCUGGGCAUAGAGGAGAGAAGUGGAAGAGGGGGUGCAAAGCCAGGAGAUGGGGUCGCCGGAUGAGCACAGCCGCACAGGGCCUGAUCCCGCCGCUGCCAGAGCAGAGUGGAGGACCACACGGGGCCCGAUGGGGUGGCCGGGAGCGCGCGGCACCCGGCUCCCAAGAAGGGAAUGCAGCGGUGCUGGCCUCUCCUCUCCCCGCGCCUCUGUCCUGCGUCGUCACCACCACCACGACGUUGCUCGCCAUUGACCUCCCCAAGUGCUUCUCUCCACAAAUGGUGCCGCCAUGUCCAGAUCAAUUCAAGCGCCAGGAAAGUACAACACGUGCACAUAACUUGUUUGAGGAAAUUUCAUCUGGAAGCAAUAUUUGAUCAUGACUUGUGUUCUUGAUGCUUCAUCUGCGGCUAGCUGACUACAACAUCACAUAUGUAAAGGGAAACCAUCAUAAGAAACACAGGAAGACAUUGCAUUGUUGAAGGAGUACAUUGGGGACUGGAGUCGAUGGCCUACGACAUGGGCAGACACGUGUGCUUCAUGAUUGUUGUUGGUUAACUCGGAGUAUAUGAUGCCUUGAAGGAAUGAUGUGCAUAAUUCAGACUAAAUCUUGCUGGUGAUAGUGAGGAGUUUAUUUGGCUGUAGCACUUUGAUUCUUUCUCACUGUCAAAGUUUGUUCAUUUCUUCUCUCUCAUAUUUUUCUGUUUGUUUCAGUGUGCUAUGUGCAUUUUGCUGGUGGCGGGAGUGGCGGCCAAGAUGAUGGGCGCGGGAGUGGCGCACGUGUGAGCAAUGACAAGCGUGUCUGCUGCCAACAUGCGAAGGUUAGCUCUGCCAAACCCUGCUCGGCUCACAUUGCACCAUGGCCAUUACCAUCUACGGCUUCACAAUAGUGGUGAGAUGUCCAUAUUCAUGGAAUUUUGGGUGAUUGUAAGGUGUUGUGUUGCCAUUAAAUUAGAUUGACUUAUUAAAACUGAAGGACGGUCGAUUUGCUGAUCAUGCACUGGUAGAAAAAUAUCAAAAACUGUAACAUACUUUGCAUGGUAUUAAAUUUACUUCUCCAGGAUGUUUUUGUGCCCUUCAUGGGUGAAUCUGUAACUGAUGGAACCCUUUCCAAUUUCUUAAUGCUACUAUACAAAUGUAGUCGAGUAGAUCUUUAGGUGUUUCAGAAUGAACACACCAGUUGCUUUCUUAGAUUCAUUUCAACCAAAAGAAUGGGUAAUAUGUUUUUCUGAAAACAUGGAUACACUUGGUGUUGUAUAAUGGAAUAUGUAGUUAUUGACAUAGUAUUUAUUUUAUACUAAUGAUUCAUACAGCUUGGAGGGGAAUUAGUAUCUAACAUCUUGGUAAAUGUAUGCUAGGGAUUUUUUGCCAUUGUAAAAUCGAUACAAAGCCCGUAUUUUUGAUGAUGCACUAUGAUAAUAGAAAGCAUUUCUGAAAAUUGUGUUAUUGUAGAUGUGGCAUCGUUCUCGAGAGCAGUCCCAGGCCGUAUUAAUUCAGAAGAAUAAAUUCUUCUACUUCUGUUUAUUGUGCUUUUAAAUACUGCUCCUGUACAGGACGGCUGCGAGAAUGGGCUCUCUGAGGCGGCUGUAUUAUGUUCCUUGCUUUCUCCAUCUUCACCCCUUACGUCCUUGAUGAAAUAAUUUAUAUAUGCAAAUUAAGUGCCACACAUCAGUUGCAAGUGGUCAUGCAUCCUCCUUGUCAAUUUCUCCCAGAGAGCGAGUGUUUACAAGUCCAGUGCUUAUGGCAGUUAUUAAUUAGUCAAGAUUCAGUUCUGAUGUAGAAUAUUCAGUUUAGUUGGUCUGCAUUUGUCCCAGAGAGCGAGUGUUCAUAGGUGCAGUGCUUAUGCAAGUUAUUAUUUAGUCUAGAUUCUGUUCUGGUGCAGAAUGUCUAAUAACUUGCCACUUAAGUUUUUCUACAAACUAAAAUUUGAAAUUUAGAAUUGAUCUAGCCAUAGUUUUUGAAGCAAGAAUACCAUGACUUCUUUAUAUCUUUUUCGAGCUGGAACACUCAGCUAUCGUGAUUCUUUUGUAGACCUUCUUGACUGGACAAAAUGUAUGUUGUGGAGAAAUUAUAAAUCGCCUUACAAAUUGCAGUGAUGUUGUGUAGAAACUGAACAGGGAAGAGACCCAUGGCCCAGAGUAGUACAUGAAAAUGAAGGAUACCAGACUGGCCCAUGGAGCAUGAGAUCCCCACCUUACUUGUAUGGCCUCAGGCUGAGGAGACCCUUCUAAUUAAGGUGGUCACCACUUACUUGCAUAUUUGAACCUAUUUGCUGACCAGUUGCGAGUUAGUACCUGGGAAAAUGAACAUUUUUCUACCUCAAAUUUGCAUAUCCGUAUCCUUGUCUAAUUUAAGAUUGCUUUUCUUACUAUGAAGAAGAUUUGUGCUGCUGUAGUGUUCUUCAGUUUCUGGUGUUUAGAUGUCAGUUCAUUGUUGAGACAAUUCUGCUAUGUCCGUCUUCUGGAAGAUGGAGUAAGUAAAUUUUGUUUUCUGUACAUUUUCGCAGAUCCUAUUCGCAAAAGGAAAAAAUAAAUAGAUAUAGAGAGGUAUAAAUUCAACAAAAAACAUUUUUUGAUUAAAAGGCUAUUCCAUUUGUCACCUAUUGUACUUGCCCAUGACUAAAACAAUUAAUGCAUGGUUUUCUUUUCAAAGCAUGCACGGAAUUAGUAGGCCUUUGCGUAACGGGUAUAGUGCUGCCAGGAGAUUAAGUAUAUUCAUGAAGUUGUGCAAAGUUUAAAAUUGGUUGCGGUAUCUCACAUUUGUCUAAUCCUCAUAUGUUGCUGGUAGGCAUGCUUAUGCCCAGAAUAUUAAGUAAGCUUGUGUUGUGCUGUGACUAAAUAAAGCAAUGUUCAGACUUAUCUUUUGUUUGCUCUACUUAAAGUGUUUAGGGUUUACCUAGAGGGAUAUUAUAUGUUUCCUACUGCCGUCUCCCGCGUGACGUCAAGAAAAUCCCUGAUGUUUAUGUUUUACUUGGCCUAAAUUUUGGUUUUCAAAUAGUUCUGCCUCUCAAUUUGAUAUUUCUACUUGCUUUUGCUUAGUAAUAUGAUGUACUGUUUUCUAGCUCUAGGCCUACUUGCGUUGAAGGUUCAGUUGAUUGUUUCUCUUAAGGGUGUUUUUUUAAUUAGUGGCAUCAACAUGUGGCACUAAUUCCGUUAUGCAUUGUAUUGUGAAUUUUCCAAACAACACCAUUAUGGUAAAUAGAGAUGCUAAUGAGAAUAACAGAGAUGCUAAGAGGCAACCUUUUGGGGAUAUAAACAACAACAUGGCUUAUGAGUCCGAAGAGAGCUCGAGUGGUGUCUUUUGGUCCUUGAAGCCCUGCACUUUCCUGGUGGAGUAGCAGCAAAAUAAUUCAGAGACUUUAAAGCUACUGCGCUUCAUGUAGUUAGGAUCAAUUCUUGGUCUCGGUUUGAAAUAUUCCCCACUUCCUCCUAUUUGAUUGAUUCGUCUGACGGACAUUUUGUCAAGAAAAUAAACAGAAGGCAUAUGUAUUAUUACGAGUGAAGCCAUCCAUACAAGUUAAGAUAUUAAUAAUCCCAUAUGUGGAAUUCGAUACAUAGAGAAAUGUUAUUAUUCUUUUGCUAAUUGGUUGCUUGACCAAAUGUACUGUAAAUGACAUUAUUAUUGUUCAAGAUAUACAUAAAUGUUGUUCUUCA